UGCGCGUUCCAUCUUCUUCUUUCAUGUCAUGGCCUCUCUGUCCUUCCGACGAUGGUGAUGUUCUCUCUUUCCUUCCGACGAUGUCGCUCUUUAUUGUCGCCGCGAAAAAAAUUCAGCAAGAUUUUACCAACUCUGUUCAAGAGCUUUGCAAUUGGUUAUUUGAAGAACAAAAUUCAUGAAUUAAACUUCAGAGAAAUAACAAUACAGCGACACCAACUCAUAUAAUCACAAAUUCAC
This 237-nucleotide long non-coding RNA is filed under the name Trifolium pratense (red clover). RNAcentral's name for it is "long non-coding RNA (TPRA_LNC012387)". The record is from RNAcentral. Lineage: Eukaryota; Viridiplantae; Streptophyta; Magnoliopsida; Fabales; Fabaceae.